AACACUUUAUAUUCUGCGAGGAGUGGCGAUUGUAUUUUUGAAAGAUGAAAAUUGUGUUUUGAUAUUUUUUAAAUGGUACAUUUUGCGAAACACCGAUUACGUCCCAAUAAACCAAAUUUUGUUUAUAAACCAUCUAAAUGGUCUCACCAGCCAAUAGCCACACGCUUGCUUGGAUGUGGUUCAGGGGCUGUUGUAAGUAUUUUUAAUCUUUAUGGAUUUUUGCAACACCGCGAUGACCUCUUGCACACCGAUACAAGCUAGAAGAUGAUUCAUGAUUUCAGAAUCACGUGUACAGUGAGGUUGAACAGGUUCUGAAAGAUAGGUAACUUGGACAUCAGUUAGUCGAUCGAGAAUUCCUGUCGCUCUACCCUCCCCACCACCACCACCCAACCAACUUUAUCCCCCAUUUACCGGUCCUGUCCUGGUGUCAACGAUGUCACAGGUGGGAGGAGCUGGCACCACCAGCAGCAUCGACAACGACCCGUGAUGUGUAGUCUACGGUUGUGGUCGCCACUAGCAAGGACGUUUUUAAGUCCUAGUGAUCAGUCACCUGGGAGCAGCCAUAGGGAGGAGUCGCCUCAAGGUAAAGAACAGAAGAAAGUAGACAAGAACGAUUGAAAAGAAAUAAAAAAAUAGAAAAAAGAAGAACCAAGCUGCUCUCGUAUGUUAGCCCUACAACAGGGUAGUUGUGCGCACUGAGGUUACGGCUGACGUGGCGCUGAUUUAUUGUGUCAGACGAUCUCCAGCAGCCCCGUCACUGAUGUGUCCCUCAGUGUCAUGUUCACCUUGAGGGCCACACCACACCAGCCGGGAAACCGUAAAAAUGGCGGCUUGCGAGCCCGCCUCUUGAUUUCUUUCCUUUAACGGCAACGACAGGCGAGCCGCGCGCAGCAAACUAAUCAGCGCGAGGACCACGUGAGCCACGAAUGAGAUGACGAUGCACCCGGGGUCUGAAGGACGGGGGCUAACACUUACUGUGGACUCUAGCCACGCCCUUUUUACUUUGAACUCUUUAAGGGAAAGACAGGAGCCACUAACCUUAAAUUCAGAUGUGGACCCCUUGUCCUCUUGUCGGCCUGGAACUUUGACAACCGAUACUGCUCAAGAUCUCGACUUCGUUUACUCGCGUUACUUCUCGAGUUUACAGGCUACGAGACAAAUGGCUUUAAAAAAAAGUUUAUUGAAAAAGAAACAAGUGGUCGGUCAAAGUUAUUUGAUGACGUGGACGAGCCAAUGAUUAUCAAGAGUAAGGAUGGUUGAGGGAUUGUCCUCAGUUGACCUGUCUCUGAUGGCCAGCGGGAUCUGGCAGAUUGAGGACGAGGGUGAGAGGUCGUGCAAGGCGUGCAUAACAUUGACAGGCUCCUUCAGCCUCGCAAGAUCUCGCUCAACGGUCUCGCAGGCAAAUCACGUGCUGGUGUCUCGACAAACCGGGUAGGAGGGGGAGGAGGAGGCGGAGGUAGCACCUCCUUGAUCGGCACGAGGCUGGUGAGGAAGGGGAGAAAGGGAUGAGACUGAAACGUUUUUCUCACCUGGAUAGGUCUCAUCAGACAGACACCUGUAGCAUUCGCUACCUGAGCACAAUUUAUUUGCAGGGAAUAGACGAGGACCGGAUGCAGGGGCGUUUCCAUCAUGGCCGCGCACUUUGUACCGUCUGCUCCUCGGCGUGCUGAAAUGUAUUUCAGUGAGAGAAGUACUUGCUACCUCGGUGUGCUGAAAUGCAUUUCAGUGACUGAAAAAAAUUCUCUUGGCCCGAUACAUUAGGGGAGGGAAGCUGAAAUCUAGUUCAGUGAGAAGUUUACUUUAGGGCGUUGAAAUAUAGUUCACCAGUGAAGACAAAAAGUUCCCUGAAUGCGAUAAUAAAAUAUAUUUCAAGAAGACGAAGAAGGUUGCCCUGGCGAUGUGAAUCACUCCAGCGAAGUCAACGAUUUCAAUGGCGGUUGUCAACAGAACAAAUAUGGACGAACGUUUAUGCAAGUUUGUCAAAGUGUUUAUGUAACAGUUUUUCAACAUCUUUGCCAAACGUGUCUGUCAAAUGUUUGUCUCCAGGUGUGCAGUUAACAACGACCUUUAAAUACAUGAAAGUCACAGCAAAAUAUGUUUUAAGCGCUCUAAAUGGAUGUCAGUGCUCGGGAAUAUUCUGUUUGAUGGUCCAAAGGACUUUACAGAGAGGGCAAAAUAUUGCCAGAUGAGACUUGAUGAUUAAGUCUUGUCUGGACAACUGGAUGCAUUAUUUCAAACACGAAUAACUCGCAGACAUUUCUCCAAGCAGCCUAGAGGGAUGUGUGAUGGAGUCUCGAAGGGUGGACUACCACUUGUACUGUUUCCUUCAUCAUGAAGCUGGACAUCUUGGUGGACUCUGGCAUCGCAUCAUAACAUCAGCAACUGAGGAACGAAUCAUAAGGACUUUCUGGAUGAGAACGACUUCAAGAAAUGUGUUGAAUGAUUUGGAAAUUAAUGUUCUUUAGGUUGUGAGAUGCCACUCGGGAAAUUUUAGUUUCAACAAGAGAGACACAAGUGUGACUUCACUCAGGUGGACAGCGGACAUCAACUGACUACUUUCUCCGGUUUGUCCAUGCUAGCUUCUUCCCACGCCAAGAACAACCUGCAACAACAACUGCAGCAUCCGUCAUAUUCCAUGUCAGAUUUAUUUAUCUGUUGAUGCUAUCACUUUGGAAUUUUAACUUGAGCCUCCGAGGAAAUGUCGAACUAUUUGCCAACAUAACGAAGCAUAACUGUCAGCGGAGACAUUUUGACUUGAUGACCGCCUGCACGAAGUCAAGAAUGUAAAACUACAAAAAAAUAAUAAUUUUUUGUGGAAAAAGUGGAGCCGACAGUCUUUUUUUGAAAGUGUCCCACGCUGCAUGCCCCAGCUUUCAUCAUAUCUGAGACAGGGAUGCUCGCCGCCAUCAGGCCGGGUGUGUGGGCGGACGGCUCGCGCUUCAAACAAACGCAGGCACCGACCACCGUGAGAGUUGAGUGACUGCAGGACGGGUGGGAAGUGGGGGUACACUCGCCACGGAGAGAUUGGAGGGAUGUCGAAGGUAGAGCUACCCACUGCGAGCUUCCCGGGUAGCGUUUUACGUGCUUUCGUGCGAUUGAAGCCUGCGAAGGAAUGCCUUUCUGAUGGCUGAGGCUGUAGAGUGAGUUCAUAGAUGACCUGGGUGUAUGAUAGCACAGGUGUACAGCACGCGCACCAACACACACACAGCAUGUGGCUACCCGCGCUCCACUCACUCACUCCACUGUUUACCCGCUUUCAGCGGUUGCCGGGUGCCGCCAGGCUACAAGAGGGUAUGUGCUGCCUCGCACCAUGCAAGAAUUUCCACAGCUUUUCGCACCAUCACCCAUCUGUAACCAGGAUGGAAAAUAUAUGGCAGCAUGUCGAAAAUAAACAAACAAGCAGGCCUGCUCUUGUGUAGCCUGCAAGUAUUUACACACAGGAGGGAGGGAGGGGAAGGAGAGAAGAAGAAACAACAUUGAUAACACAGAGAUUUUUCUUUCAUUUUAGUGAGGGUGUCUAGUUACAAACACUUUUUUUUACUACAUGGGAAAAAUGGAGGGUUAGAUAGGGAGCUUGAUAAUGACUAUUAAUACACAGGGUGGCUGAAUGUUCGGGUAUUUAGCUCUGUGAGAAAUAAAAUCUGCAUCCCACGAGUCACGCAUACAUUUAUUUAUUUUAGUAUCGGUUUGUUUUCUGUGAUGGAUACGGCGAACAAAUUCACAUUCGUGUUUACAAAAUUAUUUAUCCUGUGGAAUAACAUUCAGAAAACAAAAUUGAAUCAGUAAAAAAAAUAUUGAGAAGAGGAAAACAUUUCUGUGAGAAAAUGCCGAGCAUGAAGUGCCGAGUGAUAUCUUGAAUAUUUGGUGUUUCCACAUUAUUUCAAUUGCAGAAAUUUAAUAUUUUUAAGAUUUAGACAAGUGUAGAUGAAAUUCCUGAUUCUAAUUACAACAGCAGGGACCUUCUUGAAUUUUAAACUGUAUUGUUGACAGUUCGGGAGCUGCACCUGUGUGAGUGUCUAUGACAUGACAUUUGUAUUUGGGCACUGUUGUCAUUGUGUCAUUAUCUCUUCUAUUGUCAGUAUUAUUGGAUUUAAUAGCAGUUUGCUAGUAAGCGAUUUAAUGGAUAUUUUAUUAAAUUUUAUUACAGUUAAGUCUUCACCUGACAGGUAACAAUACAUAAUUUUAUUUUCAACACUUGUAAAACUUGUUGAACUUUAAUGUGGAUGUGUACAUAUUUUGAAUACUUGCGGGAGAGCCUGAGAGUGUCAGAUAAAUUAAUUAGUUGUAGUCAGUUCAUAAUCUUUUUAAUAUAGUCUGUGUUAAUGGUGGUGUUAAGAGCUGUUCUCAUGUUACCGGUAGCCGACAGAACAAUUUCCUGAAAAGAAUGAAUAAAGAUAUUUUGUAUUUG
Pomacea canaliculata is the source of this 4408-nucleotide long non-coding RNA. RefSeq lists it as uncharacterized. The record is from RefSeq and is a predicted model, not a curated record. The transcript has 2 exons. NCBI's taxonomy places the organism in Eukaryota, Metazoa, Mollusca, Gastropoda, Architaenioglossa, Ampullariidae.